RNAcentral lists this small RNA (554 nucleotides) under Pongo abelii (Sumatran orangutan). Its description in RNAcentral is "retained intron". The record is from RNAcentral. Lineage: Eukaryota; Metazoa; Chordata; Mammalia; Primates; Hominidae.
ACCCUUGGCAGUGAGGCAGCUCACACCUGCACACCCUGUCAUGGUGGACCUCAGUGGGAGAGAGGUGGAAUUGCAUCUGCGGCUGCGCGUCCCACAGGUUGGCCACUACGUGGUUGUGGUCGAGUAUUCCACGAAGGCAGCCCAGCUGUUUGUGGUUGAUGUGAAUGUGAAGAGCCCCGGGUCUGUUCUGGCAGGCCAGGUGAACAUUUACAGCUGCAACUACAGUGUUCUCUGCCGGAGCGCUGUGAUUGAUCACAUGAGCCGCAUCGCCAUGUAUGAGCUAUUGGCAGAUGCAGACAUUCAGCUCAAGGGACACAUGGCCCGAUUCCUUCUGGUAUGCUUCUGUUUUGCCCAUUGAAUUUUAGAAGCAUUUUGCUGAUAUCUAUAUUUUUUGAAGCUUAUUAAAAUUUUGGUUAGGGUUGCAUUACUCCUAUAAUCUGUGAAGAAUUGCCAGUUUAAUAUUUAUUCCCAUCUAGAACCUGACUUUCCUCUUCAUUUGUUUGAGCAUACUUUGAUAUGGCCUAAUAAAAUUUAGUCAUAUUUAAGUACCUCUC